GAUGAACGCUGGCGGCGUGCCUAAUACAUGCAAGUCGAGCGAACGGACGAGAAGCUUGCUUCUCUGAUGUUAGCGGCGGACGGGUGAGUAACACGUGGAUAACCUACCUAUAAGACUGGGAUAACUUCGGGAAACCGGAGCUAAUACCGGAUGAUAUUUUGAACCGCAUGGUUCAAAAGUGAAAGACGGUCUUGCUGUCACUUAUAGAUGGAUCCGCGCUGCAUUAGCUAGUUGGUAAUGUAACGGCUUACCAAGGCAACGAUGCAUAGCCGACCUGAGAGGGUGCGGGCCCCCAUGGGAAUGAGAACGGGCCCCAGCCUCCUAGGGGAGGGAGCAGUAGGGACUCUUCCGCAAGGGGGGGAAGCCUGGCGGAGCAACGCCGGGGGGGUGAGAAAGGUCUUGGGAUCGUAAAACUGUUUUAUGGGGGAAAAAAAUAUGUGAAAGGAACUGUGCAAUGCUUGACGGUACUUAAUAAAAAAGCCACGGCUAACUACGUG
Molecule: ribosomal RNA, 497 nt
Filed under: uncultured bacterium
Lineage: Bacteria
Description: partial 16S ribosomal RNA
Rfam family: Bacterial small subunit ribosomal RNA
Source: RNAcentral